RNAcentral lists this transfer RNA (73 nucleotides) under Candidatus Daviesbacteria bacterium. RNAcentral's name for it is "tRNA-Arg". It matches the Rfam family "tRNA". Rfam says of the family: Transfer RNA (tRNA) molecules are approximately 80 nucleotides in length. Their secondary structure includes four short double-helical elements and three loops (D, anti-codon, and T loops). Lineage: Bacteria; Candidatus Daviesiibacteriota. The record is from RNAcentral.
GGCCCUGUAGCUCAGUGGAUAGAGCAGUCCCGUCCUAAGGGAAAGGUCGUGAGUUCGACUCUCGCCAGGGCCG